GGAUGAACGCUGGCGGCGUGCCUAAUACAUGCAAUUCGAGCGAACAGACGAGGAGCUUGCUCCUCUGACGUUAGCGGCGGACGGGUGAGUAACACGUGGAUAACCUCCCUAUAAGACUGGGAUAACUUCUGGAAACCGGAGCUAAUACCGUAUAAUAUAUUGAACCGCAUGGUUCAAUAGUGAAAGACGGUUUUGCUGUCACUUAUAGAUGGAUCCGAGCCGCAUUAGCUAGUUGGUAAGGUAACGGCUUACCAAGGCGACGAUGCGUAGCCGACCUGAGAGGGUGAUCGGCCACACUGGAACUGAGACACGGUCCAGACUCCUACGGGAGGCAGCAGUAGGGAAUCUUCCGCAAUGGGCGAAAGCCUGACGGAGCAACGCCGCGUGAGUGAUGAAGGUCUUCGGAUCGUAAAACUCUGUUAUUAGGGAAGAACAAAUGUGUAAGUAACUAUGCACGUCUUGACGGUACCUAAUCAGAAAGCCACGGCUAACUACGUG
This 498-nucleotide ribosomal RNA is filed under the name uncultured bacterium. Its description in RNAcentral is "partial 16S ribosomal RNA". It matches the Rfam family "Bacterial small subunit ribosomal RNA", at positions 27 to 507 of the family's 1533-position model. The record is from RNAcentral.